Myotis davidii is the source of this 1566-nucleotide long non-coding RNA. RefSeq lists it as uncharacterized. The record is from RefSeq and is a predicted model, not a curated record. NCBI's taxonomy places the organism in Eukaryota, Metazoa, Chordata, Mammalia, Chiroptera, Vespertilionidae. The transcript has 2 exons.
UAAAUUUAUUUAUGGCACGGAGAUUAUUCUUUGCUUUGUUUUAGAAACUGAGUUUGUGGCUGUGCUCCAGUUUCACAUAUGUUGACAUUUAACAUUGUAUAAAUUUAAGGUGUACAUGUUAAUUUGAUACACAAAUAUUGUAAUAUGAUGGCCAUUGUAGUGAGAAUUAGAACCCCUGUCAUGCUACAUAAUUAUGCUCCAGUUUUUAGACGAACUGCUGUAGUUUUCCAUUACUGAGUUAAAAUUUCAUAUCAUCAGGAGUUACCUACUGUAAGUUCCUAGUAGAGAAUAUUUAAUUCCUGGCUUUAAAAAAAGUGAGUUACCUGAACACAGUAUUUACUGUUAACCUGUGUUUUAAUAGGCUCUGUCUGGAAAGCUCUAUUUCUUAUUUUUGGUAGAAUGCAAAGAACAUGAGAUUCAAACUCGGAAGUUCUGGGACCUAGUCUGCUCCUCUGUUCCAUAAAGGAAAUUUUGAUAUGACUGUUUAUGGACACAGCCAGUUUUGAAAUGGGAGAUACUUAAUAGGAAUAAACAUAAUUGGGUCACAAUGCAGUAACAUUUCUCUUAUGAUAAAAUUUUACGUUCUAAAGUCCCUGGUGCUAUUGCCGAGCCUGCCCCACGUCAGUGCCUCCCGAGCCCCGUGCCCAUGGCCUACCCAGAUGCUGACCCUCUCCACCCUCGGGGUGGCAGGGUGGGUCUAGGCUAGCAGCUUCGCUGGUAUGCGUCAUGAUAUGAAACCGGCAGGGAAACACCACCCUAUGCAACAAAGAAACAGCUAAUACUGAGUAGUGCUAGGGCACGUCUUAAGGGUUACGUGCACUGACUUACUGAAACAUCACAACCUUCAACGAGUCAAUCAGGCACUACUACAAUUUCCACUUUACAGAAGGAAAAACUAACCAUACCAUCAAUCCAGGGUCAAGGUUGACAUCUGUAAACAACUGGGAGCCUCAGGGAUGGGUGAGGCCUAAGAAUGGAGUCCAGGACAGGGUGCAGAUCGCAGAUGGUGCAAUGGGCAUCUGUUGCCUUUGUCUGCCUUUCAAGAUCUUUUUCUCUAGCUCACACUUCACCUACACUUUCUAUUCAGAGUAUCAGCUUUCACAGACUCAACACGGACAGUCACGUGUCCUAGACCACGGCCUCCUCGAGGCUCUUCGAUACACUCUCCAAGAGUAAUUGUUUGGACCAAUAGGACAGAAGUGAUGCUGGUGGACUUCUGAGGCUGGAGUGUAAGCAAUACAGCUUUUGCUUGGCUCUGCCUCUGCAGACACACAGCGCUGAGCCACCAUAAUACAAAGGCUGGCUCUCCGGAAGCCACCAGCAGUGCUGGAGACCACACAGGGGUGGAGAGACGCCUAAAAGCUCCCGCUGUUCCAGCCCCCAGCUGCUGAGACUUCCUGGCUCGGGCUCCUGAGUGAAGGCGCUUUCAAGAUGGCUCCAACCCCACCUACCAUCUGACUGCAACCUCACAAAAGCCCCUCAACUCAGAACCACACAGCUGAGCCACUUCUAAAUUCUCAUCCCACAGAAAUAGAGAUAAUAAUGAGUAUUAUUGUUUUAAGUUGA